Molecule: long non-coding RNA, 310 nt
Filed under: Cicer arietinum (chickpea)
Lineage: Eukaryota; Viridiplantae; Streptophyta; Magnoliopsida; Fabales; Fabaceae
Description: long non-coding RNA (CARI_LNC000711)
Source: RNAcentral
AUUUUGUAUAUGAUGCAGCUGCAAGAUGUACCCAGACAUGAGCUACACAGAGCAAACAACAAGUGAGACUCUUGUUAUGGGAGUUGCAUCUGGUAAGACUCAAUUUGAAGGUGCUGAAAUGGGUUUUGGAGCUGAGAAUGAUGGCUGCAAGUGUGGAUCAAACUGCACCUGCAACCCUUGCACCUGCAAAUGAAGUGGAUAAUGAAAUCUUCAAGCAAAGAUGGUCCUUAAUUAUCUCAUUAGUGGCAGGAUUAAUAAUAACAACAAUAUAGCUUAUGGUUAUUAUAUAUUGAGUUAUGUGUUAUGUGUA